AACGAACGCUGGCGGCAUGCCUAACACAUGCAAGUCGAACGAGACCUUCGGGUCUAGUGGCGCACGGGUGCGUGACGCGUGGGAACCUGCCCUUAGGUUCGGAAUAACUCCCCGAAAGGGGUGCUAAUACCGGUUAAUGUCUUCGGACCAAAGAUUUAUCGCCUUUGGAUGGGCCCGCGUUGGAUUAGCUAGUUGGUAGGGUAAAAGCCUACCAAGGCGACGAUCCAUAGCUGGUCUGGGAGGAUGAUCAGCCACACUGGGACUGAGGCACGGCCCAGAACCCCACGGGGGGGAGGAGUAGGGAAUAUUAGGACAUGGGGCGAAACCCGGUACCGCCAAGCCGGGGGAGUGAUGAAGGCCUUAGGGUUGUAAAGCUCCUUUACCCGGGAUGAUAAUGACAGUACCGGGAGAAUAAGCUCCGGCUAACUCCGUG
RNAcentral lists this ribosomal RNA (433 nucleotides) under uncultured bacterium. RNAcentral describes it as "partial 16S ribosomal RNA". It matches the Rfam family "Bacterial small subunit ribosomal RNA", at positions 29 to 507 of the family's 1533-position model. The record is from RNAcentral.